GAUGAACGCUAGCGGCAGGCCUAAUACAUGCAAGGCGAAGGGGCAGCAAUGUCACUGUCGUACGGGUGCGUAACGCGUAUGCAACCUACCUAGUCACUGGGGGAUAGCCCGGGGAAACCCGGAUUAAUACCGCAUAACACAGGGGCUCCUCAUGGAGAUAUUUGUUAAAGAUUUAUCGGUGGUAGAUGGGCAUGCGUUCG
RNAcentral lists this ribosomal RNA (200 nucleotides) under uncultured bacterium. RNAcentral describes it as "partial 16S ribosomal RNA". It matches the Rfam family "Bacterial small subunit ribosomal RNA", at positions 28 to 239 of the family's 1533-position model. The record is from RNAcentral.